CUGGCUCAGGAUGAACGCUAGCGGCAGGCUUAACACAUGCAAGUCGAGGGGCAGCGUGGAGUAGCAAUACUCUGACGGCGACCGGCGAAAGGGUGAGUAACGCGUGAGCAACAUGCCCGGUAGUGGAGAAUAGUCGAUGGAAACGUCGCGUAAUACUCCGUAACAUAGAGAACCGCAUGAUUUUCUAUUAAUAGAUUUAUCGCUACCGGAUUGGCUCGCGUACCAUUAGCUAGUUGGCGGGGUAACGGCCCACCAAGGCGACGAUGGUUAGGGGUUCUGAGAGGAAGGUCCCCCACAUUGGAACUGAGACACGGUCCAGACUCCUACGGGAGGCAGCAGUGAGGAAUAUUGGACAAUGGCCGAGAGGCUGAUCCAGCCAUGCCGCGUGCGGGAAAGACGGCCCUAUGGGUUGUAAACCGCUUUUGUUGGGGAGCAAUAAGGUCCACGUGUGGAUCGAUGAGAGUACCCAGCGAAUAAGCAUCGGCUAACUCCGUGCCAGCAGCUGC
Molecule: ribosomal RNA, 506 nt
Filed under: uncultured bacterium
Lineage: Bacteria
Description: bacterial SSU rRNA
Rfam family: Bacterial small subunit ribosomal RNA
Source: RNAcentral